Molecule: microRNA precursor, 103 nt
Filed under: Marmota monax (woodchuck)
Lineage: Eukaryota; Metazoa; Chordata; Mammalia; Rodentia; Sciuridae
Source: RNAcentral
AGUAUGACUGCUGGACUGUAUGGUCAAAGUAUGUUCAGUUUUAUAAGAAAAUGCCAAACUAUCUUUGAAAAUGGUUAUGCCAUUUUUCAGUCCCACUAGCAAU